This 463-nucleotide ribosomal RNA is filed under the name uncultured bacterium. Its description in RNAcentral is "partial 16S ribosomal RNA". It matches the Rfam family "Bacterial small subunit ribosomal RNA", at positions 28 to 507 of the family's 1533-position model. The record is from RNAcentral.
GAUGAACGCUGACAGAAUGCUUAACACAUGCAAGUCGAUGGGGAAGUGGUGCUUGCACCAUGGUAACCAUGGCGGACGGGUGAGUAACGCGUAAGGAACUUGCCUGCGGGACUGGGAUAACAGCAGGAAACUGCUGAUAAUACCGGAUAAGGUCGUUAAGCUGCAUAGCUUAGUGAUGAAAGGAGACGCCUGCGGAGAGCCUUGCGCCCUAUUAGCUAGUUGGAGGGGUAACGGCUCACCAAGGCGAAGAUAGGUAGCCGGCCUGAGAGGGUGUACGGCCACAAGGGGACUGAGAGACGGCCCUUACUCCUACGGGAGGCAGCAGUGGGGAAUAUUGGACAAUGGGGGCAACCCUGAUCCAGCAAUUCUGUGUGCACGAAGACGGUUUUCGGAUUGUAAAGUGCUUUCAGCAGGGAAGAAGGAAGUGACGGUACCUGCAGAAGAAGCGACGGCUAAAUACGUG